GACGAACGCUGGUGGCGUGCUUAACACAUGCAAGUCGAACGGAAAGGCCCUGCUUUUGUGGGGUGCUCGAGUGGCGAACGGGUGAGUAACACGUGAGUAACCUGCCCUUGACUUUGGGAUAAUUUCAGGAAACUGGGGCUAAUACCGGAUAGGAGCUCCUGCUGCAUGGUGGGGGUUGGAAAGUUUCGGCGGUUGGGGAUGGACUCGCGGCUUAUCAGCUUGUUGGUGGGGUAGUGGCUUACCAAGGCUUUGACGGGUAGCCGGCCUGAGAGGGUGACCGGCCACAUUGGGACUGAGAUACGGCCCAGACUCCUACGGGAGGCAGCAGUGGGGAAUAUUGCACAAUGGGCGGAAGCCUGAUGCAGCAACGCCGCGUGCGGGAUGACGGCCUUCGGGUUGUAAACCGCUUUCGCCUGUGACGAAGCGUGAGUGACGGUAAUGGGUAAAGAAGCACCGGCUAACUACGUGCCAGCAGCCGCGGUGAUACGUAGGGUGCGAGCGUUGUCCGGAUUUAUUGGGCGUAAAGGGCUCGUAGGUGGUUGAUCGCGUCGGAAGUGUAAUCUUGGGGCUUAACCCUGAGCGUGCUUUCGAUACGGGUUGACUUGAGGAAGGUAGGGGAGAAUGGAAUUCCUGGUGGAGCGGUGGAAUGCGCAGAUAUCAGGAGGAACACCAGUGGCGAAGGCGGUUCUCUGGGCCUUUCCUGACGCUGAGGAGCGAAAGCGUGGGGAGCGAACAGGCUUAGAUACCCUGGUAGUCCACGCUGUAAACGGUGGGUACUAGGUGUGGGGUCCAUUCCACGGGUUCCGUGCCGUAGCUAACGCUUUAAGUACCCCGCCUGGGGAGUACGGCCGCAAGGCUAAAACUCAAAGGAAUUGACGGGGCCCCGCACAAGCGGCGGAGCAUGCGGAUUAAUUCGAUGCAACGCGUAGAACCUUACCUGGGUUUGACAUGGAUCGGGAGUGCUCAGAGAUGGGUGUGCCUCUUUUGGGGUCGGUUCACAGGUGGUGCAUGGCUGUCGUCAGCUCGUGUCGUGAGAUGUUGGGUUAAGUCCCGCAACGAGCGCAACCCUUGUUCACUGUUGCCAGCACGUUAUGGUGGGGACUCAGUGGAGACCGCCGGGGUCAACUCGGAGGAAGGUGGGGAUGACGUCAAGUCAUCAUGCCCCUUAUGUCCAGGGCUUCACGCAUGCUACAAUGGCUGGUACAGAGAGUGGCGAGCCUGUGAGGGUGAGCGAAUCUCGGAAAGCCGGUCUCAGUUCGGAUUGGGGUCUGCAACUCGACCUCAUGAAGUCGGAGUCGCUAGUAAUCGCAGAUCAGCAACGCUGCGGUGAAUACGUUCCCGGGGCU
RNAcentral lists this ribosomal RNA (1346 nucleotides) under uncultured bacterium. RNAcentral's name for it is "partial 16S ribosomal RNA". It matches the Rfam family "Bacterial small subunit ribosomal RNA", at positions 28 to 1381 of the family's 1533-position model. The record is from RNAcentral.